RNAcentral lists this ribosomal RNA (445 nucleotides) under uncultured bacterium. RNAcentral's name for it is "partial 16S ribosomal RNA". It matches the Rfam family "Bacterial small subunit ribosomal RNA", at positions 354 to 796 of the family's 1533-position model. The record is from RNAcentral.
GUGAGGAAUAUUGCGCAAUGGAGGCAACUCUGACGCAGCCAUGCCGCGUGCAGGAAGAAGGCGCUACGCGUUGUAAACUGCUUUUAACCGGGAAGAAACCCCAGGACGUGUCCUGGGUUGACGGUACCGGAGGAAUAAGCACCGGCUAACUUCGUGCCAGCAGCCGCGGUAAUACGAAGGGUGCAAGCGUUAUCCUGAUUCAUUGGGUUUAAAGGGUGCGUAGGCGGAGCGUUAAGUCAGUGGUGAAAUCCUGCAGCUCAACUGUAGACUUGCCAUUGAUACUGGCGCUCUUGAGUGCUCUUGAAGUGGGCGGAAUGUGCCGUGUAGCGGUGAAAUGCUUAGAUAUGGCACAGAACACCAAUUGCGAAGGCAGCUCACUAAGGCGAUACUGACGCUGAGGCACGAAAGCGUGGGGAUCGAACAGGAUUAGAUACCCUAGUAGUCC